Molecule: ribosomal RNA, 2284 nt
Filed under: Staphylococcus aureus
Lineage: Bacteria; Bacillati; Bacillota; Bacilli; Caryophanales; Staphylococcaceae
Description: partial 23S ribosomal RNA
Rfam family: Bacterial large subunit ribosomal RNA
Source: RNAcentral
AGAUUAAGUUAUUAAGGGCGCACGGUGGAUGCCUUGGCACUAGAAGCCGAUGAAGGACGUUACUAACGACGAUAUGCUUUGGGGAGCUGUAAGUAAGCUUUGAUCCAGAGAUUUCCGAAUGGGGAAACCCAGCAUGAGUUAUGUCAUGUUAUCGAUAUGUGAAUACAUAGCAUAUCAGAAGGCACACCCGGAGAACUGAAACAUCUUAGUACCCGGAGGAAGAGAAAGAAAAUUCGAUUCCCUUAGUAGCGGCGAGCGAAAUGGGAAGAGCCCAAACCAACAAGCUUGCUUGUUGGGGUUGUAGGACACUCUAUACGGAGUUACAAAGGACGACAUUAGACGAAUCAUCUGGAAAGAUGAAUCAAAGAAGGUAAUAAUCCUGUAGUCGAAAAUGUUGUCUCUCUUGAGUGGAUCCUGAGUACGACGGAACACGUGAAAUUCCGUCGGAAUCUGGGAGGACCAUCUCCUAAGGCUAAAUACUCUCUAGUGACCGAUAGUGAACCAGUACCGUGAGGGAAAGGUGAAAAGCACCCCGGAAGGGGAGUGAAAUAGAACCUGAAACCGUGUGCUUACAAGUAGUCAGAGCCCGUUAAUGGGUGAUGGCGUGCCUUUUGUAGAAUGAACCGGCGAGUUACGAUUUGAUGCAAGGUUAAGCAGUAAAUGUGGAGCCGUAGCGAAAGCGAGUCUGAAUAGGGCGUUUAGUAUUUGGUCGUAGACCCGAAACCAGGUGAUCUACCCUUGGUCAGGUUGAAGUUCAGGUAACACUGAAUGGAGGACCGAACCGACUUACGUUGAAAAGUGAGCGGAUGAACUGAGGGUAGCGGAGAAAUUCCAAUCGAACCUGGAGAUAGCUGGUUCUCUCCGAAAUAGCUUUAGGGCUAGCCUCAAGUGAUGAUUAUUGGAGGUAGAGCACUGUUUGGACGAGGGGCCCCUCUCGGGUUACCGAAUUCAGACAAACUCCGAAUGCCAAUUAAUUUAACUUGGGAGUCAGAACAUGGGUGAUAAGGUCCGUGUUCGAAAGGGAAACAGCCCAGACCACCAGCUAAGGUCCCAAAAUAUAUGUUAAGUGGAAAAGGAUGUGGCGUUGCCCAGACAACUAGGAUGUUGGCUUAGAAGCAGCCAUCAUUUAAAGAGUGCGUAAUAGCUCACUAGUCGAGUGACACUGCGCCGAAAAUGUACCGGGGCUAAACAUAUUACCGAAGCUGUGGAUUGUCCUUUGGACAAUGGUAGGAGAGCGUUCUAAGGGCGUUGAAGCAUGAUCGUAAGGACAUGUGGAGCGCUUAGAAGUGAGAAUGCCGGUGUGAGUAGCGAAAGACGGGUGAGAAUCCCGUCCACCGAUUGACUAAGGUUUCCAGAGGAAGGCUCGUCCGCUCUGGGUUAGUCGGGUCCUAAGCUGAGGCCGACAGGCGUAGGCGAUGGAUAACAGGUUGAUAUUCCUGUACCACCUAUAAUCGUUUUAAUCGAUGGGGGGACGCAGUAGAAUAGGCGAAGCGUGCGAUUGGAUUGCACGUCUAAGCAGUAAGGCUGAGUAUUAGGCAAAUCCGGUACUCGUUAAGGCUGAGCUGUGAUGGGGAGAAGACAUUGAGUCUUCGAGUCGUUGAUUUCACACUGCCGAGAAAAGCCUCUAGAUAGAAAAUAGGUGCCCGUACCGCAAACCGACACAGGUAGUCAAGAUGAGAAUUCUAAGGUGAGCGAGCGAACUCUCGUUAAGGAACUCGGCAAAAUGACCCCGUAACUUCGGGAGAAGGGGUGCUCUUUAGGGUUAACGCCCAGAAGAGCCGCAGUGAAUAGGCCCAAGCGACUGUUUAUCAAAAACACAGGUCUCUGCUAAACCGUAAGGUGAUGUAUAGGGGCUGACGCCUGCCCGGUGCUGGAAGGUUAAGAGGAGUGGUUAGCUUCUGCGAAGCUACGAAUCGAAGCCCCAGUAAACGGCGGCCGUAACUAUAACGGUCCUAAGGUAGCGAAAUUCCUUGUCGGGUAAGUUCCGACCCGCACGAAAGGCGUAACGAUUUGGGCACUGUCUCAACGAGAGACUCGGUGAAAUCAUAGUACCUGUGAAGAUGCAGGUUACCCGCGACAGGACGGAAAGACCCCGUGGAGCUUUACUGUAGCCUGAUAUUGAAAUUCGGCACAGCUUGUACAGGAUAGGUAGGAGCCUUUGAAACGUGAGCGCUAGCUUACGUGGAGGCGCUGGUGGGAUACUACCCUAGCUGUGUUGGCUUUCUAACCCGCACCACUUAUCGUGGUGGGAGACAGUGUCAGGCGGGCAGUUUGACUGGGGCGG